Molecule: ribosomal RNA, 252 nt
Filed under: uncultured bacterium
Lineage: Bacteria
Description: partial 16S ribosomal RNA
Rfam family: Bacterial small subunit ribosomal RNA
Source: RNAcentral
UACGGAGGGUGCAAGCGUUAUCCGGAUUCACUGGGUUUAAAGGGUGCGUAGGUGGCAAGUAAGUCAGUGGUGAAAUCUCCGGGCUUAACCCGGAAACUGCCAUUGAUACUAUUUGUCUUGAAUACUGUGGAGGUCAGCGGAAUAUGUCAUGUAGCGGUGAAAUGCUUAGAUAUGACAUAGAACACCAAUUGCGAAGGCAGCUGGCUACACAAAUAUUGACACUGAGGCACGAAAGCGUGGGGAUCAAACAGG